GGGAUUGUGGGGUAAUUUGGCUAUCCUUCCGGCUUUGGGAGCCGGCGAUCCCGGUUCAAAUCCGGGCAGUCCCA
RNAcentral lists this transfer RNA (74 nucleotides) under archaeon. RNAcentral's name for it is "tRNA-Pro". It matches the Rfam family "tRNA". From Rfam's summary of the family: Transfer RNA (tRNA) molecules are approximately 80 nucleotides in length. RNAcentral also lists the same sequence under 1 other name. The record is from RNAcentral.